GUCCCUGUAGCGCAAUAUAUAGCGCAUUGGACUUCUAAUCCAAAGCUCAUGGGUUCAAAUCCCAUGGCUGAGAUG
Non-coding RNA from Trichonephila clavata, 75 nucleotides. The record is from the annotation of a GenBank genome assembly. NCBI's taxonomy places the organism in Eukaryota, Metazoa, Arthropoda, Arachnida, Araneae, Nephilidae.